AAACCCGUGAGGGAGGUCUGGAGGAAGCCCAACGCACCAACAGUAGGGCCUUCUAAGGCAAAUCGCGGGGCGAUGAACAAGAACUCAAUAUGAGGUGUGACAUAUUCGGGGCCAGCGGGCACGUGACUGCCAAGCCCUCCAUCUGCAACUGGGAUAUGUUUUAUAAAUUGAGCGUCUACGCGAUGAAAGUUAAGUGU
Molecule: non-coding RNA, 197 nt
Filed under: Marinobacter sp. LV10R510-11A
Lineage: Bacteria; Pseudomonadati; Pseudomonadota; Gammaproteobacteria; Pseudomonadales; Marinobacteraceae
Source: RNAcentral